This 460-nucleotide ribosomal RNA is filed under the name uncultured bacterium. Its description in RNAcentral is "partial 16S ribosomal RNA". It matches the Rfam family "Bacterial small subunit ribosomal RNA", at positions 338 to 795 of the family's 1533-position model. The record is from RNAcentral.
CCUACGGGUGGCUGCAGUGAGGAAUAUUGGUCAAUGGGCGGGAGCCUGAACCAGCCAAGUCGCGUGAGGGAUGACGGCCCUAUGGGUUGUAAACCUCUUUUGCCGGGGAGCAAAGUGCCGCACGUGUGCGGUUUGGCGAGUACCCGGAGAAAAAGCAUCGGCUAACUCCGUGCCAGCAGCCGCGGUAAUACGUAGGGGGCAAGCGUUAUCCGGAUUUACUGGGUGUAAAGGGAGCGUAGACGGCAAGGCAAGCCAGAAGUGAAAGGGCAGGGCUCAACCCUGUACAUGCUUUUGGAACUGGGGUGCUAGAGUGCAGGAGAGGUAAGUGGAAUUCGUAGUGUAGCGGUGAAAUGCGUAGAUAUUAGGAGGAACACCAGUGGCGAAGGCGGCUUACUGGACUGUAACUGACGUUGAGGCUCGAAAGCGUGGGGAGCAAACAGGAUUAGAUACCCUAGUAGUC